This 254-nucleotide ribosomal RNA is filed under the name uncultured bacterium. RNAcentral's name for it is "partial 16S ribosomal RNA". It matches the Rfam family "Bacterial small subunit ribosomal RNA", at positions 524 to 776 of the family's 1533-position model. The record is from RNAcentral.
UACAGAGGUCUCAAGCGUUGUUCGGAUUUAUUGGGCGUAAAGAGCUCGUAGGCGGUUUGGUAAGUUGGAUGUGAAAUCUCCAGGCUCAACUUGGAGGGGUCAUUCGAUACUGCCAUGACUAGAGUUCGGUAGGGGAGUGUGGAAUUCCUGGUGGAGCGGUGAAAUGCGCAGAUAUCAGGGGGAACACCCGUAGCGAAGGCGGCACUCUGGGCCGGAACUGACGCUGAGGAGCGAAAGCGUGGGGAGCGAACAGG